UGAUGUAUAUUAAGAUAACUAAAAAGGAUUAAUAUGCAAGAAGAAAAUGGGAGAAGAAGUUUAUAUAAUAUGAAUACAACUAAAUUGGUAUGUGAUGCGUUUUUUGACAUGGUGAGGGAUGCUAUUUAUAGGACUUUUGUAGGACCUACCUAAUUUGUAAGUCUCAAUUUAUUUAUUUAGCUCAACUAGUUUAUUAGGGUGUUGGUGAAUGAAUAGUGAUCGUUAACUUAGUCAUAUUUUAAUAUUAU
Molecule: long non-coding RNA, 248 nt
Filed under: Trifolium pratense (red clover)
Lineage: Eukaryota; Viridiplantae; Streptophyta; Magnoliopsida; Fabales; Fabaceae
Description: long non-coding RNA (TPRA_LNC014054)
Source: RNAcentral